CUUUCACCUGCUGCCAGAGAAGUCUCCAGAAGCAGGCCUGUGAUCAUGUCACCCUGCCCGCCUGCAGUGGCUCUCGAUGCACCUGAACGGGUCCCAGCCUCCAUGCUGUCCCUCCAGCUUUGCCUUUGUGUACCUGGCAUCACCAGGCAACGGCAUGAUUCUGCCCCUCCCCAGGCGGUGCCUACAGUCACCCCUUUUUGGCCUUACCAGCUCUUGCCCCAGUCCACACAAGCCUUGUCUACCCACGGAGUCCAGGCCCCUGCUCAUGGGGGCUUGCCUUGGAGGAGCAAGACAGGGUGGCAUCUCGAGGGUCAGUCUCAACAGCAUCCCUGGGAGGCUGAGACUUGGCUCAAGCAGGGAGGUGGGCACCCACAUUCCCUGAGAGUGUCCCUGAAGGAGUGUGGGGGCUCUCGCUCCCAGAUCCCUAUGCUCCUGAGCCCUGGGAGGUCAGUCCUGCCUGCCCCGCCCGGCACAGUACCUUGCCUGUCAGGAGAGAAAUUCAGCACUGAAGUUCCUGUGGAGACUGGAGCCUCAGCAUCUCCGCCCGUAAGAAGGAUGGAAGUUGCAGUUACCUCACAGAACUGUGACAGGAUCUCACCGUCGCCUCGGCUGGAGUGCAGGGGUACGAUCUCAGCUUCCUGCAACCUCCACCUCCCAGGUUCAAAUGAUUCUCAUGCCUCGGCCUCCCAAAUAGCUGGGACUACAGACAUGGGAUCUUGCCAUGAUGUUCAGGCUAGUCUCAAACUCCUAGGCUCAAAUUCUCUGCCCUCCUCAGCCUCCCAAAGUGCUGGGAUUGCAGAGGUGAGCCUGUAAUCUGCGCCUG
RNAcentral lists this long non-coding RNA (823 nucleotides) under Callithrix jacchus (white-tufted-ear marmoset). RNAcentral's name for it is "lncRNA (ENSCJAG00000075376.1)". Lineage: Eukaryota; Metazoa; Chordata; Mammalia; Primates; Cebidae. The record is from RNAcentral.